This is a long non-coding RNA of Sander lucioperca (pikeperch), 226 nucleotides long. RefSeq lists it as uncharacterized. The record is from RefSeq and is a predicted model, not a curated record. Lineage: Eukaryota; Metazoa; Chordata; Actinopteri; Perciformes; Percidae. The transcript is spliced from 3 exons.
UUGAAGAAAAAUCUUGGGCCGUGGGACCAUAGGGCCGUGGGACCAUAGGGUUGUGGGAACAUAGGGCUGUGGGACCAUUGGGCUGUGGGACCAUUGGGCUGCGGGACCAUUGGGCCGUGGGACCAUAGGGCCGUGGGACCAUAGGGUUGUGGGAACAUAGGGCUGUGGGACCAUUGGGCUGUGGGACCAUAGGACCGUGGGACCAUAGGGCCGUGGGAACAUAGGG